AGUGUGCGUUGAGGCGCCGAGGGGAGCUGACGUGUGCCGCUUUGUUUCGUUUCCCCUCAGUCUCGCCCUCGUUCGCGCCGCUGCCGCUACACCCUCACGCGGACAAUGCGCGGUUCAUUCUGAGGAAGUAUGAUUACAUCGGGCAGAAAAUAGAUC
Long non-coding RNA from Portunus trituberculatus (swimming crab), 156 nucleotides. RefSeq lists it as uncharacterized. Lineage: Eukaryota; Metazoa; Arthropoda; Malacostraca; Decapoda; Portunidae. The record is from RefSeq and is a predicted model, not a curated record. The transcript is spliced from 2 exons.